CUCUGUCUGGCCCCUUCCCCCUCUUGCCUCGCUGGUGUGGAUGGCCACUCUGAUCCUGACCGUGCUCUUCAAACCUGGCCUAUGCCUGGCAUCCUCUAUUGCCUUCUCGAUGCUCAUUGUCAUCUUCAGGACCCAGCUUUUCAGGCCAAAGUACUCCUCUUCUAGGGCAGGUCCCUGAGACUGACAUUUACAGACCAGUGGAGGACUAUAAUCUGUAAUGCGUCCAUGGAGACAAGAUAAAUACAGCCAAAGGGACUACGCCGAUAUCGGUGUGGAGGUGGUGGAUGUCAGACUGGUGUUAUUGAGAAACUGGAAAGAUGAGGAUUCGUCAGUGAGAAAGUCACCAAAGUGUGUCUCUUCUCCUCAAUCCACAAAUGCUGUGCUUUACUGUCAGACAGACAGGGCCCAGAUGGACAGUGAUGACGAGGUGAAACACACACGAGCAAGACACGUGCACGCACACCGAUGCACACACACUGAUGCCCCCAUUCUCAUCGACAGGGCUGCAGUGGAGCAGGUUGAGAGCUUCAAGUUCCUUGGUGUCCACAUCACCAACAAAGUAGAAUUAGUCCAAAAACACCAAGACAGUCGUGAAGAGGGCACAACAAAGCCUAUUCCCCCUCAGGAGACUGAAAAGAUUUGGCAUGGGUCCUCAAAAGGAUCUACAGCUGCACCAUCGAGAGCAUCACCAACUGGUUGCAUCACUGCCUGGUAUGGCAACUGCUCGUCCUUCGACCGCAAGGCAGGUAGUGGGUGGUGACAGAGGGUAGUGCGAACGGUCCAGUACAUCACUGGGGCCAAGCUUCCUGCCAUCCAGGGACCUCUAUACCAGUUGGUGUCAGAGGAAGGCCCUACAAAUUGUCAAAGACUCCAGCCACCCAAGUCAUCAACUGUUCUCUCUGCUACUGCACGGCAAGCGGUACCCGGAGCGCCAAGUUUAGGUCCGAGAGGCUUCUAAACAGCUACCCCCAAUCCUUAUGACUCCUGAACACCUAAUCAAGUGGCUACACAGACUAUUUGCAUUGCCCACCGCUCCCCCUCUUUUACACCGCUGCUACUCUCUGUUGUUAUCAUCUAUGCAUAGUCACUUUAAUAACUCUACCUACAUGUAAAUAUUACCUCAACUAACCGGUGCCCCCGCACAUUGACUCUGUACCGGUACCCCCCCUGUAUAUACUCUUGCUAUUGUUAUUUUACUGCUGCUCUUUAAUUACUUGUUACUUUUAUUUCUUAUUCUUAUCUGUAUUUUGUAAACUGCAUUGUUGGUUAGGGGCUCGUAAGCAAGCAUUUCACUGUAAGGUUCACCUGUUCUAUUCGGUGCAUGUGACUAAUCAAAUUUGAUUUGAUAUUUGAUUUGAAGUACAUGCAUGCACUACAAGCCCACACACUCACAAUUACUCACAUUCUUUUACAGUUUAUAACCUGUUUAGAUUGUGCACAUACACUGAGUGUACAAAACAUUAGAAACACCUGGUUAAAGGUUAAAUAAGGAUUUUUAAGCCUUGAGACAAUUGAGACAUGGAUUGUGUGUGUGCCCUUCAGAGAAUGAAAGGGCAAGACACAAUAUACGUGUCUUUGAAUGGGGUACAGUAGUAGUUGCCAGGCGCACCGGUUUGAGUGUGUCAAGAACUGCAACUCUGCAUAGCUUUUCACGCUCAAUAAUUACCAUCUGUAUCAAGAAUGGUCCACCACCCGAAGAACAUCUGGCCGGCUUGAAAUAACUGUGGGAAGCAUUGGAGUCAACAUGGGCCAGCAUCCCUGUGGAACCCUUUCGACUCCUUGUAGAGUCCAUUCCCUGACCAAUUGAGGCUUGGGGAAAAUGGGUUGUAUACUCAAUAUUAGGAAUGUUUUGUACACUCAGUGUAUAGACAUGGUUCUCUUACAAACAUUGUGUUUUGUUGGGUUUAGGUUUUGGUUGCUGGCAGCUCUGUUUUAGUGUUCAGUUGCAUGCAUGGCUCUUUUGCAGCUCCACAGGAUGAUCCUACAUGUUUAUGGUAGUUGUUUUACGAGUGAUCGGUCAGGUUAUACUGAUAAAUGCUGAAAACCCUUACCUGAAACUGUCCAGUGGCUCUAUUUGAUCAAAUCUAACACAAUGGUAAGGUAGCGAUAUACAGUGCCUUGCAAAAGUAUUCGGCCCCCUUGAACUUUGCGACCUUUUGCCACAUUUCAGGCUUCAAACAUAAUGAUAUAAAACUGUAUUUUUUUGUGAAGAAUCAACAACAAGUGGGACACAAUCAUUAAGUGGAACGACAUUUAUUGGAUAUUUCAAACCUUUUGUAAUGCUCCGGGUGUCGUGGGUGUGGAGUCAAAUGCAGGAGACAGAGAGUUCAAUGCUGUGCGUCUUUAAUAGCACCAACGCACCACAGGGUGCUCACAAUAGUUACGUUCCCAAACACAGGGAAUCAAAAUGUGCAACGAAAAAUACACGACCAAGUACUAACACGUACCUG
Molecule: long non-coding RNA, 2450 nt
Organism: Oncorhynchus masou masou (cherry salmon)
Lineage: Eukaryota; Metazoa; Chordata; Actinopteri; Salmoniformes; Salmonidae
Exons: 4
Source: RefSeq, a predicted model, not a curated record